RNAcentral lists this ribosomal RNA (249 nucleotides) under uncultured Luteolibacter sp. RNAcentral describes it as "partial 16S ribosomal RNA". It matches the Rfam family "Bacterial small subunit ribosomal RNA", at positions 355 to 596 of the family's 1533-position model. Lineage: Bacteria; Pseudomonadati; Verrucomicrobiota; Verrucomicrobiia; Verrucomicrobiales; Verrucomicrobiaceae. The record is from RNAcentral.
UCGAGAAUCAUUCACAAUGGGGGCAACCCUGAUGGUGCAACGCCGCGUGGAGGAUGAAGGUCUUCGGAUUGUAAACUCCUGUCAUCUAGGAGCAAGACCUGGCGCUGAAUCGUCGACAGGGUUGAUAGUACUAGAAGAGGAAGGGACGGCUAACUUCGUGCCAGCAGCCGCGGUAAUACGAAGGUACCGAGCGUUAUUCGGAAUCACUGGGCGUAACGGGAGCGUCGGCGGCGUGGGCAGCAAGAUGUG